RNAcentral lists this long non-coding RNA (505 nucleotides) under Elaeis guineensis (African oil palm). Its description in RNAcentral is "long non-coding RNA (EGUI_LNC081838)". Lineage: Eukaryota; Viridiplantae; Streptophyta; Magnoliopsida; Arecales; Arecaceae. The record is from RNAcentral.
UUCAUCGAUAUGUAACCCUGAUCGAAAAGUCCCAACCAGUGGGACUCUUGACCCCGGUAUCCAUAAUGUGUGGAACUCAUGAUCAGAGAAUCCUGAUUUCGAUCACUGAGUCUCAAACAUGUAAGAUUUUACACUAGCCAUCAGAUCAGAUAGGAACCUCUAAUGUGUGUGACCCCGCAGGUUCGAACUUAAGCCGGUAGCACAGGAACCAAUUCCUGUACUAAUCGAAGUGACCAUCUAGCAAUGGUACCCAACAUCCGGAUAGGUCGAAGAGUCACAAUCGCAACACUCAGAACCUACAUGAAUAUGGUUACUGUAUAAUUCAUCCUUUUGACCCCUGUGUUUAGGAUGACUCAGGGUUAAACUGUCAACCCUGAUCAGAUCAUCCGAAUCGUGCUCAACUCAAACAGUCCUGUGACUCCUCACAAGGACUACCCUGGCCAAGAUUUUGCUAAAUUGAAACAUGACUGUACACAGCUCCUAAACUGGAGUGAUCAAUCCCAUC